Molecule: transfer RNA, 72 nt
Filed under: Camelus bactrianus (Bactrian camel)
Lineage: Eukaryota; Metazoa; Chordata; Mammalia; Artiodactyla; Camelidae
Also listed under: 2 other names
Rfam family: tRNA
About the family: Transfer RNA (tRNA) molecules are approximately 80 nucleotides in length. Their secondary structure includes four short double-helical elements and three loops (D, anti-codon, and T loops).
Source: Rfam by way of RNAcentral
GUGGGUAUAGCUCAGUGAUAGAGUUCAUGCCUAGCAUGCACAUGGUCCUGGGUUCAAUUCCCAGUACCUCCA